Long non-coding RNA from Haliotis rufescens (red abalone), 362 nucleotides. RefSeq lists it as uncharacterized. The record is from RefSeq and is a predicted model, not a curated record. The transcript has 3 exons. NCBI's taxonomy places the organism in Eukaryota, Metazoa, Mollusca, Gastropoda, Lepetellida, Haliotidae.
CGCGAGAUUUAUGACGUCACCUUGACGACACUUUCACUACUGGCAUCGCCAUUGUUGAGGUUAUACUGCUGUCAUAUUACAACUUAUCUGCUGCUUUUUGCCUUGUCUUGUGCUCAUCUCCGCUUGUGAAAACCAUGAGCGCAUACACCCAAGCUCUUGACCUCGUGAUCAGGUUCCCUUUGAACUUUGACAUCUGGGCCCCUCCUCGCCAAGAUGAAGAUAUCAGGAUCUGUAAAAGGACCAAUGAUGAGCAGAAAGCAGGUGCCUUGGGAUGAACCUGCAUAGACAGUUGUCUGAUAUGGUUCUGUCUGAUUUUCAAUUUCAAAUAAGUGUAUGAUUCAAAAUAAAACUUCUCAACCCUG